UACGGGGGGGGGCAAGCGUUGUUCGGAAUUACUGGGCGUAAAGGGCUCGUAGGCGGCCAACUAAGUCGGACGUGAAAUCCCUCGGCUUAACCGGGGAACUGCGUCCGAUACUGGAUGGCUUGAGUUCGGGAGAGGGAUGCGGAAUUCCAGGUGUAGCGGUGAAAUGCGUAGAUAUCUGGAGGAACACCGGUGGCGAAGGCGGCAUCCUGGACCAACACUGACACUGAGGAGCGAAAGCCAGGGGAGCAAACGGG
Molecule: ribosomal RNA, 254 nt
Filed under: uncultured bacterium
Lineage: Bacteria
Description: partial 16S ribosomal RNA
Rfam family: Bacterial small subunit ribosomal RNA
Source: RNAcentral